This 279-nucleotide ribosomal RNA is filed under the name uncultured bacterium. RNAcentral's name for it is "partial 16S ribosomal RNA". It matches the Rfam family "Bacterial small subunit ribosomal RNA", at positions 506 to 784 of the family's 1533-position model. The record is from RNAcentral.
UGCCAGCAGCCGCGGUAAUAUGGAGGGGGUUAGCGUUGUUCGGAAUUACUGGGCGUAAAGCGCACGUAGGCGGAUUAGUAAGUUAGGGGUGAAAUCCCGGGGCUCAACCCCGGAACUGCCUCUAAUACUGCUAGUCUUGAGUUCGAGAGAGGUGAGUGGAAUUCCGAGUGUAGAGGUGAAAUUCGUAGAUAUUAGGAAGAACACCAGAGGCGAAGGCGGCUUACUGGGCCAUUACUGACGCUGAGGCGCGAAAGCGUGGGGAGCAAACAGGAUUAGAUA